UAGCUGGGGCAAUUGUCAGCCUCCAGCCAGAGUUGCAUUGCUUUUGUCUGAUUCUUAUUUACAUAGACAUUUUCUAGCCCAUUAAAUAUAGUCAUAUAGUCUUGUAGCCAAAGUCUACAGCAGGCAGAGGUACACAGCUCCAGAAAAAAGAAGGUACCAGAAAGAUGACAAUCCAACUGGUGGACAUCCUGUUACUCAAAAGCCAUGUCUGCAUAAAUUUCACACUCACUGCAGAAAAGGGAAAGGUGAGAGACCUCUUCAAAUCUGGCAAUGCAACAAAGCUUCUGGGAUGUCAACCUAAAGUGCUGGCAACACACAUAUUAUCAAACUAAUUUUGAGUUCUAGGAGAACUUCCAGACUGACAGAUGUAACCUUAGCUACAAAUCAGUCACUGUGAUUCACACUUCUGUGAGCAGUCAACUGUAUCAAGAUCUGUGUCUCUGAUUGCAAAGUCUGGGUGAGACCAAUAACUCCAAGGCAUGUGAAUAACCCAGACUCACAUGAACCAUUCUGUUGAAAGCAACAAAAAUGAAACAAAUGCCCUAAGGCAAAAAACCAAGAAUAAAGUCCUCUUGCCAUCAGAAGCAUUCUGGGAAAACAUAUUUUCUUAGCAAUGUCUUUAUAGUACUAAAAUUUGUCUAUCAGUUUAAAACAAAUUUUACUUCUGUUUUGCUGUAUCCCUUUAGUAGAUGACUGCCCAAAGCACUUGUGCCUGAUCAAUACCUGAAUUUCUCCAAAAACAUUGCUUUGUUUCAAGCAGCAUUCUUCAGCUCUGAACAGUAAAUCAUUUUCCCUCAUUUUUCCAUCAACUUAAAACAUUUUUAUCACAAAUUUUAUUUCUGCUAAAAACGAAUGAGUGAUUUAUUUCAGUUUGCUGUUAUCCUUGAAGUCUGGUGAUAGCUGCACUGCUCUUAGUGCCAGUGGUCUUUCAUAAAAUUAGUAGCUAGUAAUCCUCUUAUGCUUUGCUAUUUACAUGUGCCAAGUGCUGCACUCUGGAGCACACCAGGCUUCCAUUGCAGUGAAAAUCUCUCAUAAAUUAUUCCAUCAGUUUUAUUUUCUGAGAAAGUUAUUCAACUUUGUCCCAUUCAUUGCAAAGUUUGUAGUGGACAGAUUAUGUAAAAAGUACAUGCUGAAUAGACACCCCGCAGGAAAAAAAAUGUUUUAUUGA
This is a non-coding RNA of Taeniopygia guttata (zebra finch), 1168 nucleotides long. The record is from RefSeq and is a predicted model, not a curated record. Lineage: Eukaryota; Metazoa; Chordata; Aves; Passeriformes; Estrildidae.